CGCCAACACACUGAAGUUUCAACAAGUGGGUAUUCCUCCUUCACCAUGGGCACUUCUUCCUGCAUCCUUUGCUGGUUCUCCUCCCUCCCCACCUUACUCCUUGCAGCGCCCUGGGCUCAGGCCUCCAUGUCUUUCUUCCUUACACUCUCUCCCUUGUGAGCUCAUCCAUCUGUAUGCUGAUGGCUUCCACAUUUCUAAUGCUAGCCUCGACCCUCUUCCCAGAACUCCAGACUCCUACAAGCAGUUGCCCAUUCAAACUCUCCCCUUGGGUGUUUAAUAGAUAUAUCAGAUCUAAUAUGUCUAAUAAUGCAUCUCAAAUGGAAUUCCUCAUCUUCCCCUCUGCAAACCUGUUCCCCACCGCCCCUACAGUCUUCCCCACUUGGUUAAUGAUGGCUCCAUCCUUCUGGUGACACCUUGGAGUCAUCCUUGAUUCUGCUAUUUCUUUCACUUCAAAUACCUAAACCAUCAGGAAACCCGGACAGCUCCACCUUCCACCUCUGUUAGAACCUCAGCACCUAGCCAUCCCCCAUCACCUCCCCCACUCCCACCACCCUAGCAUAAGGCACCAUCACAUCUUACCUGGACUCUUGCAGUAGCCUACUAAUUGCUGUCCCUGCUGCGGUACUUGACCCCUAUAGUAAUGCUCUACAUAGCUGCCAGGAUGAUCCCUUUAAAACACAAACACUAGACCCAGUCACACCUGCUUAUAAUCCUCCAAGAGGCAAAGUCUUUGCCAAGGCCACAAGGCCCUGUACUACCUGAACCUCCCCGCUUGCUAAGACCUCCCUCUCUUACUCUGUGCCAGCCACGCCUACCUUGGUGCUUUCCGUGAACACACCAGGGGCACACUCCCACCUUGGAUCUUCAUACUGGCUGUUCACUCUUCUCAUUCCUCACCUCCCUCAGACCUCUGCUCAGAGGUCACCUUUGCUGUGAGGCUUACCUUGACUGUCCCAUUUAAAAGUGCACCCCGACAUUCUGCAUGGUGGCUUCCCUCUUCCAUUGUGCAUGUCCUCUUCUUACAUACUGGAGUUUCUUGAGCCUUGUGUUUGCUGUCUUCUCCCUCCAGCAUUAUCCGUUUUGUGCCCUGCAGCAUUCCCACAGCAACCAGCACAGCCCUUGUGUGGUGGAGGUGCCGGGCAUACUGAGAUGCAUCUGUCAGCAUCUGCCUCCUGGUACCUUGGGCCUGCAUGUCUGGCAGGCAGGUAGAAGAACACGCUGGCCAUUUCAAUGUUAAGACAAAGAGGUAGAGAAGGCUGGAUGAAGGAGGUGAUGACUGAACCAUAUCCUGAGGCAGCUGGGGUUUCCAGGAAGAGGACAGAGAGAAGGACAUUCAGGUGGAGGAGCCAGCAGAUGUGACAACCAGUGCACAGAGAGAUUAACUAACUUGCCGUCCAGUGGGCAUGUGGUGGAGCCCAGGGUGAAACCCAGGCAGUCUCUAAAGCAUUGCCUUCCAACAUGCAAUGGAGUGUGAAAUGCGGAAGCCAUGGGGAAGCACAGGAAAUCGGCCAUGUAAGAUAGGAAGCAAUGGUUCGAUUUAUUCAGUGGUGACGUCCACCACAGCUGCAUUCCAGUAAUCUGCACCCCUCAUCCCAACAUCCUCACCCUGCUCUGCCUGUGUUGGACAACUCGUCUUCUUGACCGGAGGUGAUCUCCCACAGUGAGGUAGCCCUACCCUUUUGUUUCAGCUCUUGGAAAACCCCAAACCUCAAGGCCAUACACUCCUUGUGGCCAAGUGAGCAUCUUGGCAACUUCCCGGCUUUUCCAAAGAGAACUAACUCCUGCUGGGGGCCCCCCAAGUCACCCCUCAUGGCCCUUACUUCUAGUGCUCUGGAAAUGGCUGAAACCAAUGGAUUAACUUGCUUUCCCUAUUAAAUAUUUACAUAAACACGCUCGGGAAGGUGUGUGUAAGUUAUCAAUAAUGCAAGGCCAGCCUAGGCUCGGUGAGAGCUAAGAGACCCAAAUUGUAUCAUCAUAAUCCAUUAUUCACAUAUAAUGCGUCUAUUCUCCUCCAUUAGCGCAGGCAGGAAAUGCCCCUGAGUGCCGGGCAGGGCUUUGGAAAGCGCAAUAAAUGGCGGACAGACACAUGGCGGGAGGGCGG
RNAcentral lists this long non-coding RNA (2101 nucleotides) under Homo sapiens (human). Its description in RNAcentral is "non-protein coding lnc-UTP11-4:2". Lineage: Eukaryota; Metazoa; Chordata; Mammalia; Primates; Hominidae. The record is from RNAcentral.